Molecule: ribosomal RNA, 253 nt
Filed under: uncultured bacterium
Lineage: Bacteria
Description: partial 16S ribosomal RNA
Rfam family: Bacterial small subunit ribosomal RNA
Source: RNAcentral
UACGUAGGGUGCAAGCGUUAAUCGGAAUUACUGGGCGUAAAGCGUGCGCAGGCGGUUUUGUAAGCCCGGUGUGAAAUCCCCGGGCUUAACCUGGGAAUGGCAUUUGGGACUGCAAGGCUGGAGUGUGGCAGAGGAGACUGGAAUUCCCGGUGUAGCAGUGAAAUGCGUAGAGAUGCGGAGGAACACCGAUGGCGAAGGCAGCCCCCUGGGCCAACACUGACGCUCAGGCACGAAAGCGUGGGGAGCAAACAGG